GAUUUAUAUGCAUCAAGAUUACACUGGGCAGGUUGUUGUAGAUGAGUAGGACUCGGCUUGUUACAUGAAAUAUCAAUCUAUCACUAACUAUCUAGCUGAGUCCAUGUCAAUCACAACACCUUGAAUUGUAACGUGUACAGAUAUCAACACAUGAGAUAUUCCAAGACAUCUAGGAGCCUUCGCCAUCAUUAACCAACUCUCUUUUCUAGAUGUACCGGCACCUCCCUCUUCCAAAUCAACCGCCGCCGCAGGUGAUUUCAAAGUUGCUCUGGCCGUCAGCAAGUGCCAGUUGGGAUUGCAGAAGCAGUUGUUGCAUGGCCUUCUGUCCGCUCGAGCUCUUACUCUC
RNAcentral lists this long non-coding RNA (346 nucleotides) under Panicum hallii. Its description in RNAcentral is "long non-coding RNA (PHAL_LNC000030)". The record is from RNAcentral. Lineage: Eukaryota; Viridiplantae; Streptophyta; Magnoliopsida; Poales; Poaceae.